Molecule: unclassified non-coding RNA, 429 nt
Filed under: soil metagenome
Description: partial contains 5.8S ribosomal RNA, internal transcribed spacer 2, and large subunit ribosomal RNA
Rfam family: 5.8S ribosomal RNA (bases 1-120)
Source: RNAcentral
GAUGAAGAACGUAGUGAAAUGCGAUACGUAAUGUGAAUUGCAGAAUUCAGUGAAUCAUCGAAUCUUUGAACGCAUAUUGCGCUCUCUGGUAUUCCGGAGAGCAUGCUUGUUUGAGUAUCAGUAAACACCUCAACUCCCUUUUCUUUUUUGAAAUUGGAGCUGGACUUGAGUGAUCCCAACGCUUUCUUCCAAGAAAGUGGCGGGUUGCUUGAAAUGCAGGUGCAGCUGAACUUUUCUCUGAGCUAUAAGCAUAUCUAUUUAGUCUGCCUAAAAACAGAUUAUUACCUUUGCUGCAGCUAACAUAAAGGAGACUAGUUCUUGUGCUGACUGAUGCAGGAUUCACAGAGAAAGCUUCGGCUGACUUUGUAAACUCGAUCUCAAAUCAAGUAAGACUACCCGCUGAACUUAAGCAUAUCAAUAAGCGGAGGA